Non-coding RNA from Chaetomium sp. MPI-SDFR-AT-0129, 116 nucleotides. NCBI's taxonomy places the organism in Eukaryota, Fungi, Ascomycota, Sordariomycetes, Sordariales, Chaetomiaceae. The record is from the annotation of a GenBank genome assembly.
AGUUAUAUAGUAUAGUAGUAGUAUAUAUAUAUUCUAUAGGAUUUCUUUAGAUUUAUAGCUUAUCUAUUAAAAUCUUAUUCUUAUAUAAGGUAUAGGUUUAAUCCCUAUUAUAACCU